GUGCUCGCUUCUGCAGCACGUAUACUAAAACUGGAAUGAUACUGAGAAGAUUAGCAUGGUCCUUGCGCAAGGAAGACAUGCAGAAUGGUGAGGCAUCCCAUAAUUUC
Sphaerodactylus townsendi is the source of this 107-nucleotide small nuclear RNA. Lineage: Eukaryota; Metazoa; Chordata; Lepidosauria; Squamata; Sphaerodactylidae. The record is from RefSeq and is a predicted model, not a curated record.